This 73-nucleotide transfer RNA is filed under the name Canis lupus familiaris (dog). It matches the Rfam family "tRNA". Rfam says of the family: Transfer RNA (tRNA) molecules are approximately 80 nucleotides in length. Their secondary structure includes four short double-helical elements and three loops (D, anti-codon, and T loops). The record is from Rfam by way of RNAcentral. Lineage: Eukaryota; Metazoa; Chordata; Mammalia; Carnivora; Canidae. RNAcentral also lists the same sequence under 2 other names.
ACCUGGCUGGCUUAGUCAGAGGAACAUGAGACUCUUGAUCUCAGAGUUGUGAGUUCAAGCCUCAUGACAGGUG